This is a long non-coding RNA of Thunnus maccoyii (southern bluefin tuna), 824 nucleotides long. RefSeq lists it as uncharacterized. NCBI's taxonomy places the organism in Eukaryota, Metazoa, Chordata, Actinopteri, Scombriformes, Scombridae. The transcript is spliced from 3 exons. The record is from RefSeq and is a predicted model, not a curated record.
CACACACACGUUUAUUAAUUACUCAGUCACAAAAUACAGUUAGUUUGAUCAUGGCACCCAGGCUCCCUGCUACAUCACUUGUCAAGAUGGCUAAAAACAUUCCUUCCUGUUGCACACCAGGACUGAAUGGGAACAAGCAAACACAGUGCAUUCUAGAACCUCAUCAGGCACAACGACCAGUGCAAGCAGCGUACGGACUGGCAUUUUCCUGACCUCGAAACUCACUUUGCGGGCCUGUGUGGUAUUUUGGUGACCAGCACAGAGCACAUGAUGCACAGGGGCAUAUCUACAGGGGGUAAGGGGCAAGUCACCAAUAUGCUCCUAAGCUGUCCAAAGCUUAGGAAGAAGAAAAUCUAUAAUUCAUAAUGCCCACUUUGGCCCCUGAAAACAGUCACAGUGAGUCCACUGUCAGCCUGCACACAAGACAUGGAGCACAUGAGAGCUGCUGCUGCAUCUGGAGAUCAGGAAGAGAUCAGGAAAUGAGAGAAAGAGAAGAAGUGAACUGGAGAGGAACUGAAUGUGGGGGAUGAAGAACUGUGAAGAGUGAGAGUUGAGACAGUGGAAACACAGGGAGACCGGUGCUCUGUUGCUGAAUUUUAGUGAAGUCAGCCAAACUACUUUUGAAUCAGACGAUGGUACAACCUCCUCUUCUGUCCCCUACAGCAGUCAAUGGAGAAGCUCCAUGGUGCGCUAGGAUUUUAUAACUUAACUAUGACCAUGAACAUACAUACUUCUUAUUUCUCUAUCUCUGUGGAAAUAUGAUGUUUCAUAUCACAAAAGGUGAACCAAGGCAUUCAAAUGUGAAUCUUGCAGGUAAAACAUGA